RNAcentral lists this ribosomal RNA (461 nucleotides) under Bos taurus (domestic cattle). RNAcentral's name for it is "similar to 16S ribosomal RNA". The record is from RNAcentral. Lineage: Eukaryota; Metazoa; Chordata; Mammalia; Artiodactyla; Bovidae.
CGAGCCUGGUGAUAGCUGGUUGUCCAGAAAAUGAAUCUAAGUUCAGCUUUAAAGAUACCAAAAAUUCAAAUAAACCCCACUGUAGCUUUAAAAGUUAGUCUAAAAAGGUACAGCCUUUUAGAAACGGAUACAACCUUGACUAGAGAGUAAAAUUUAACACUACCAUAGUAGGCCUAAAAGCAGCCAUCAAUUAAGAAAGCGUUAAAGCUCAACAACAAAAAUUAAAUAGAUUCCAACAACAAAUGAUUAACUCCUAGCCCCAAUACUGGACUAAUCUAUUAUAGAAUAGAAGCAAUAAUGUUAAUAUGAGUAACAAGAAAAAUUUUCUCCUUGCAUAAGUCUAAGUCAGUGCCUGAUAAUACUCUGACCACUAACAGUCAAUAAAAAUAAGUCCAACAAUAAGACAAUUUAUUGAUUAUACUGUUAACCCAACACAGGAGUGCAUCUAAGGAAAGAUUAAA